AACGAACGCUGGCGGCAGGCCUAACACAUGCAAGUCGAACGCUGUAGCAAUACAGAGUGGCAGACGGGUGAGUAACGCGUGGGAACCUUCCCAAUGGUACGGAAUAGCCCAGGGAAACUUGGGGUAAUACCGUAUACGCCCCUAGGGGGAAAGAUUUAUCGCCAUUGGAUGGGCCCGCGUCGGAUUAGCUAGUUGGUGAGGUAAUGGCUCACUAAGGCAACGAUCCGUAGCUGGUUUGAGAGAAUGACCAGCCACACUGGGACUGAGACACGGCCCAGACGCCUACGGGAGGCAGCAGUGGGGAAUCUUGGACAAUGGGCGCAAGCUUGAUCCAGCCAUGCCGCGUGAGUGACGAAGGCCUUAGGGUUGUAAAGCUCUUUUGCCGGGGACGAUAAUGACGGUACCCGGAGAAUAAGUCCCGGCUAACUUCGUGCCAGCCGCCGCAGUAA
This 449-nucleotide ribosomal RNA is filed under the name uncultured bacterium. RNAcentral describes it as "partial 16S ribosomal RNA". It matches the Rfam family "Bacterial small subunit ribosomal RNA", at positions 29 to 523 of the family's 1533-position model. The record is from RNAcentral.